This 751-nucleotide ribosomal RNA is filed under the name uncultured bacterium. RNAcentral describes it as "bacterial SSU rRNA". It matches the Rfam family "Bacterial small subunit ribosomal RNA", at positions 49 to 785 of the family's 1533-position model. The record is from RNAcentral.
CAAGAAUGCAGUCGAACGGGAUAACAUCUGUAGCAAUACAGGUGUUAUUUAGUGGCGAACGGGUGCGUAACACGUGGGAAAUCUGCCGAGAAGUGGGGGAUAGCUCGCCGAAAGGCGAAUUAAUACCGCAUGUGAUCAGAGAGGACAUCCUCUCGAAAUCAAAGCCGGGGCAACCUGGCGCUUCUUGAUGAUCCCGCGGCCUAUCAGCUAGUUGGUGAGGUAAUGGCUCACCAAGGCUUUGACGGGUAGCUGGUCUGAGAGGACGACCAGCCACACUGGAACUGAGACACGGUCCAGACACCUACGGGUGGCAGCAGUCGAGAAUUUUUCACAAUGGGGGCAACCCUGAUGGAGCGACGCCGCGUGGAGGAUGAAUGCUUUCGGGUUGUAAACUCCUGUCAUUUGGGAACAAGGUGCAUCGAUUAACUGUCGAUGCAUUGAUAGUACCAGAAGAGGAAGGGACGGCUAACUCUGUGCCAGCAGCCGCGGUAAUACAGAGGUCUCAAGCGUUGUUCGGAUUCAUUGGGCGUAAAAGGGUGCGUAGUGGCGCCGUAAGUCAGAUGUGAAAUUUCGGAGCUUAACUCCGAAACUGCGUUUGAUACUGCGGUGCUUGAGGACUGGAGAGGAGACUGGAAUUCACGGUGUAGCAGUGAAAUGCGUAGAUAUCGUGAGGGAGACCAGUGGCGAAGCGGGUCUCUGGACAGUUCCUGACACUGAGGCACGAAUGCACGGGAGCAACGGGAUUAGAUAC